Molecule: ribosomal RNA, 761 nt
Filed under: Klebsiella sp. K4-41
Lineage: Bacteria; Pseudomonadati; Pseudomonadota; Gammaproteobacteria; Enterobacterales; Enterobacteriaceae
Description: partial 23S ribosomal RNA
Rfam family: Bacterial large subunit ribosomal RNA
Source: RNAcentral
CUAACUGGAGGACCGAACCGACUAAUGUUGAAAAAUUAGCGGAUGACUUGUGGCUGGGGGUGAAAGGCCAAUCAAACCGGGAGAUAGCUGGUUCUCCCCGAAAGCUAUUUAGGUAGCGCCUCGUGAACUCAUCUUCGGGGGUAGAGCACUGUUUCGGCUAGGGGGUCAUCCCGACUUACCAACCCGAUGCAAACUACGAAUACCGAAGAAUGUUAUCACGGGAGACACACGGCGGGUGCUAACGUCCGUCGUGAAGAGGGAAACAACCCAGACCGCCAGCUAAGGUCCCAAAGUCAUGGUUAAGUGGGAAACGAUGUGGGAAGGCACAGACAGCCAGGAUGUUGGCUUAGAAGCAGCCAUCAUUUAAAGAAAGCGUAAUAGCUCACUGGUCGAGUCGGCCUGCGCGGAAGAUGUAACGGGGCUAAACCAUGCACCGAAGCUGCGGCAGCGACACUAUGUGUUGUUGGGUAGGGGAGCGUUCUGUAAGCCUGCGAAGGUGUGCUGUGAGGCAUGCUGGAGGUAUCAGAAGUGCGAAUGCUGACAUAAGUAACGAUAAAGCGGGUGAAAAGCCCGCUCGCCGGAAGACCAAGGGUUCCUGUCCAACGUUAAUCGGGGCAGGGUGAGUCGACCCCUAAGGCGAGGCCGAAAGGCGUAGUCGAUGGGAAACAGGUUAAUAUUCCUGUACUUGGUGUUACUGCGAAGGGGGGACGGAGAAGGCUAUGUUAGCCGGGCGACGGUUGUCCCGGUUUAAGCAUGUAGGC